GACGAACGCUGGCGGCGUGCUUAACACAUGCAAGUCGAACGGAAAGGCCCUGCUUUUGUGGGGUGCUCGAGUGGCGAACGGGUGAGUAACACGUGAGUAACCUGCCCUUGACUUUGGGAUAACUUCAGGAAACUGGGGCUAAUACCGGAUAGGAGCUCCUGCUGCAUGGUGGGGGUUGGAAAGUUUCGGCGGUUGGGGAUGGACUCGCGGCUUAUCAGCGUGUUGGUGGGGUAGUGGCUUACCAAGGCUUUGACGGGUAGCCGGCCUGAGAGGGUGACCGGCCACAUUGGGACUGAGAUACGGACCAGACUCCUACGGGAGGCAGCAGUGGGGAAUAUUGCACAAUGGGCGGAAGCCUGAUGCAGCAACGCCGCGUGCGGGAUGACGGCCUUCGGGUUGUAAACCGCUUUCGCCUGUGACGAAGCGUGAGUGACGGUAAUGGGUAAAGAAGCACCGGCUAACUACGUG
Molecule: ribosomal RNA, 468 nt
Filed under: uncultured bacterium
Lineage: Bacteria
Description: partial 16S ribosomal RNA
Rfam family: Bacterial small subunit ribosomal RNA
Source: RNAcentral